Long non-coding RNA from Empidonax traillii (willow flycatcher), 886 nucleotides. RefSeq lists it as uncharacterized. Lineage: Eukaryota; Metazoa; Chordata; Aves; Passeriformes; Tyrannidae. The record is from RefSeq and is a predicted model, not a curated record. The transcript is spliced from 3 exons.
GCCUGCCGAGCGGCCGCUCGCCGCUCCCGGCCCGCCCGUCCCCGCCGGGCUCUGCAGGGCGAGCACAAAGUUGUGUGGUGCGAGCGCCAGUGUGCCGGGUGCUGCUGUUGAGCGGGGCUUGUCCUUGCUAGAGAAAAAGGUGGAAACGCAGGGAGGGAGGGUGGUGGGCGCGGUGCCGAGCGGGCGCUGGAGAGCCCUGGAAAGGCGCGGUGUCCUUGGCAUCCUGCUCGCGAUUUGCCCGUGGUCUGAGGGCUAGCGCCCUAGUGCCGCAGAUAAGGGAGGGGAUUGGGGCAGGGGAGCGGAGUGACACAGGUACACGGGGAGAGUCGCUAAAUCUGCGCCGCCGCGCCAACAAAGGUGACACGGGUGACUCGCAGCUUCGUGGUUGUGGCCCCGUAACCGGGAGGAGUUUCAUGUCUGUAGAAGUGUGCACGCGGCGCAGCAUCACUGAUGACUUUGACAUAGUUGAAUAUUUACAGGCUAGAGGAGCAGCACUACAGUCAUAAUAAACUGCUUUUGAAGUGCCCAGCUAAACUACAUUGGUUAGUACUCACAUGCCAUUCAAUAGGGGAUGACAGUCUAUCAGAAUUUCCUCUACUCUGCAUAAUUUUGAUUGUUGCAGUUAUAGGCCAGUCAGAGCUCGGAGCAACAGGGACUAUAUAGUGUCUUAUCGCUGUGAGUAAUCACCUUGAAAUUAAGAUAUGAAAAAAAUUUCAGUGAAAGAUAUGGCCAGAAGCAGCUUUGAUUUGCUAAGUGAGCUGAAAACUGUAGAUAUCUUUUGUUUCAAACCCCCAUUUGCUAAAUCACCUUUAUCAUUAAGAGGGGGAUACUCUGGAGCCGUGAUAUGCUAUUUCCAAAUAUUAUGACUUUCUCUACUCUGCUCUUU